UUAUAUUGCGAGUUUGAUCCUAGCUUAGAAUUAACGCUAGAAAUAUACAUUACACAUGCAAAUUUAUGAUAAUAUCAUAGUGUAUAGGUGAGGAUAUAUAAAUUUUUAAUUUUAAAUAGAUUAUAAUUUUUUUAAAUAAUAAUCUAUAUGCGCAUUAUUUUUUAUUAUAAAAAUUAUUGUACUAUAUUAAAAAUUAUUAUUAUUUAAAAUAAAAUUUAUAUUUGAUUAACUAGUUGGUAAAAUAAAAGCUUACCAAGGUUAUAAUCAAAAAUUGAUUUUAAAGAAUGUACAAUCACAUUAGGAUUGAAAUAAAGCCUAAAUUUUUUUAAAAAAUCAGCAGUGAGGAAUAUUUUACAAUAAGCGUAAGCUUGAUAAAGUAAUAUUUCUUAAAGGAAGACAGUAUUAUUAAAAUAUUGUAAACUUUUAUUUUUUAUUUUUAAAUAUUGAUAUAUAUAAAAAAUUAGUAUUGGCUAUUUCUGUGCCAGCAGCAGCGGUAAUACAGAAAAUGCAAGCGUUAUUCCCUUUAUUAGGCGUAAAGCGUUUUAAGGUUUUAUAUUAAUUUUAUUUUAAAAUAUUUAAAUAAAAUUUAAAAAAAAAAAUAAAUAAUAAUAUAAUAGAGUAUUAUUAAAGUAUUAAGAAUUUUUUGAGAAGUAGUGAAAUACAAUGAUACAAAAAGGAAUACCAAAAGCGAAAGCAUAAUACUAAAUAAUUACUGACACUUAAAAACGAAAGCUAAGGUAGCAAAUAGGAUUAGAUACCCUAGUAGUCUUAGCUGUAAACUAUGAAUAUUUUAUAUUUAUAUUAUAUAUAAAUAUAAUAACUAACGUAAAAAAUAUUCCGCCUGAGUAGUAUAUUCGCAAGAAUUAAAUUCAAAGGAAUUGACGGGAGCUUAUACAAGUGGUGGAACAUGUGGCUUAAUUCGAUGCAACACGAUAAACCUUACCAAAAUUUAACAAUAUUUUUAAUAUUAAGAAAUUAAUAGUUUAAUAAAAUAUAUAGGUAGUGCAUGGCUGUCGUCAGUUCGUGCUGUGAAGUAUUAAUUUCAGUAUUAUAACGAACGUAACCUUUUAUAGAAAAAUAAUUUUUAUAAUAUAUUAUUAAUAAUAAAUAUAUAAAAAAGAUUACGUCAAGUCAUUAUGCUCCUUAUAUUUUGGGCCGCUCACGUGUUACAUAAAAUAUUACAAUACAUUUAUUAUAUAUAAAUAUAAUAUUUAAAAUAUAUUUAUAGUUCAGAUUAUAAAUUGAAACUCAUUUAUAUGAAGAUGGAAUCACUAGUAAUCGCUAAUUAGAAUUAUAGCGGUGAAUAAGUUCUUAAGCUUUGUACACACCGCCCGUCACAUCUGAAAAAUAUUAUAUUAUAUAAAAAUUAUUGUUAAAUAAUAAUAUAUAAAAAUAUAAUUUAGAUGAAGUCGUAACAAGGUAGCCGUACUGGAAGGUGCGGCUGGAUAAAAAAACAAAUUG
RNAcentral lists this ribosomal RNA (1461 nucleotides) under Plasmodium vivax (malaria parasite P. vivax). RNAcentral's name for it is "partial small subunit ribosomal RNA". It matches the Rfam family "Bacterial small subunit ribosomal RNA". Lineage: Eukaryota; Apicomplexa; Aconoidasida; Haemosporida; Plasmodiidae. The record is from RNAcentral.